CUACGGGGUGCAGCAGUAAGGAAUAUUGCGCAAUGGAGGCAACUCUGACGCAGCCAUGCCGCGUGCAGGACUGAAGGCCUUAUGGGUCGUAAACUGCUUUUAUUUAGGAAUAAACUCUUGUACGUGUACGAGACUGAAGGUACUAAAUGAAUAAGCACCGGCUAACUCCGUGCCAGCAGCCGCGGUAAUACGGAGGGUGCAAGCGUUAUCCGGAUUUAUUGGGUUUAAAGGGUGCGCAGGCGGACUAUUAAGUCAGAGGUGAAAUCCCGGAGCUCAACUUCGGAACUGCCUUUGAUACUGGUAGUCUUGAAUACGGUUGAAGUAGGCGGAAUGUAGCAUGUAGCGGUGAAAUGCAUAGAGAUGCUACAGAACACCGAUCGCGAAGGCAGCUUACUAAGCCGAUAUUGACGCUCAGGCACGAAAGCGUGGGAGCGAACAGGAUUAGAUACCCCAGUAGUC
RNAcentral lists this ribosomal RNA (459 nucleotides) under uncultured bacterium. RNAcentral describes it as "partial 16S ribosomal RNA". It matches the Rfam family "Bacterial small subunit ribosomal RNA", at positions 339 to 795 of the family's 1533-position model. The record is from RNAcentral.